GAUGAACGCUAGCGAUAGGCUUAACACAUGCAAGUCGAGGGGCAGCAUGGUCUUAGCUUGCUAAGGCUGAUGGCGACCGGCGCACGGGUGCGUAACGCGUAUGCAACUUGCCUCACAGAGGGGGAUAACCCGUCGAAAGACGGACUAAUACCGCGUACACUCUAUGUUGGGCAUCCAAUGUAGAGGAAAUGAAAUUCGCUGUGAGAUAGGCAUGCGUCCCAUUAGCUAGUUGGUGAGGUAACGGCUCACCAAGGCGACGAUGGGUAGGGGAACUGAGAGGUUGAACCCCCACACUGGUACUGAGACACGGACCAGACUCCUACGGGAGGCAGCAGUGAGGAAUAUUGGUCAAUGGGCGAGAGCCUGAACCAGCCAAGUCGCGUGAAGGAUGACUGUCUUAUGGAUUGUAAACUUCUUUUAUACGGGAAUAACAAGAGUCACGUGUGGCUCCCUGCAUGUACCGUACGAAUAAGCAUCGGCUAACUCCGUG
RNAcentral lists this ribosomal RNA (490 nucleotides) under uncultured bacterium. Its description in RNAcentral is "partial 16S ribosomal RNA". It matches the Rfam family "Bacterial small subunit ribosomal RNA", at positions 28 to 507 of the family's 1533-position model. The record is from RNAcentral.